RNAcentral lists this long non-coding RNA (1056 nucleotides) under Coffea arabica (coffee). RNAcentral describes it as "long non-coding RNA (CARA_LNC005486)". The record is from RNAcentral. Lineage: Eukaryota; Viridiplantae; Streptophyta; Magnoliopsida; Gentianales; Rubiaceae.
UCCAAUUUAUCAAAUAUUUCAUUACUAAACAACUUGCACAACUUAAAACUUACAACUCCUCUGUAUUUCUAAACCAUUAUAUCCCAAGGGAAAAAUAAAAUAACGUUCCAGAAACCAAUUAAACUUCCAAAAACAAACUAAAAUUUCUGGUUCAACCCUUGUGGCUUCCAAGAUUUUCCAGCAACCAAGUACUUUUUAGAUCAAAUUUUCCCUUGGUUUAAACAUGGUGUUAGGUAGGCAUGGCCACGGUUCCAGAACCGCCGGUUCUGGUUCUUCAAAGAGGUAGAACCAGAACCGCACCAUAUAAGAUGGUUCUGGUUCUGGUUCCAGAACCGGCGGUUCUGGUUCUUCAAAGAGGUAGAACCAGAACCGCAUAGUUCUGAUUUCGAUUCCUUAUGGUUCCGGUUCCGGUUCCGGUUCCGUAUGGUUGUUUCUUUCUUCCGUUGAGAGCCCCCGAGAGCAAAAAUUGAAGAAACUCCCUUUUUUUCUUCGAAUACAAGCUUUUUCUUUGGAGCCCUUCUUUGCAAUGUUUUCCUCUUGGAUCCGUUGAGAGCUUGGUCAAAAGGUUGUGGUGGAUCAUGAUGAUCAUCAUGAUGUCUCUACUUUUAUUAUUUUUUAUAUUAAUUAUUUUUAAUUUUUUUAACGGUUCUGGAACCGGCGGUUCUGGUUCUGGUUCUAUUUUUUAGAGAACCAGAACCGGAACCUUUAUCCAAGGUUCUACUACGGUUCUGGUUCCACGGUUCUGGUUCCGGUUCUGGUCCGGUUCCAAAAGGUUCCGGUUCCGGUCCGGUUCCCGGUUCCAAAUGGAACCAUGGCCAUGCCUAGUGUUAGGUACUCAAAUUCAGCAUGUAAACACUUAGCUAGCUAUUAAAAAUUUUCACUUCAAAACCAGAUUCAUUCAGCAACUAAAAUCAUCCAGAAAAAUCCAGAAAUCUGUCCAACUAGCCACGGUUGAACAUGCAUGAAGAAACUUUCUGUUUUCAUUUUAUUUUCUUGGUUAAAACAUGCUUUUAAACUCUCAACUUCCUCAUGCAAUUACUUAGCUAGAAAAUAAAC